GACGAACGCUGGCGGCGUGCUUAACACAUGCAAGUCGAACGGAAAGGCCCUGCUUUUGUGGGGUGCUCGAGUGGCGAACGGGUGAGUAACACGUGAGUAACCUGCCCUUGACUUUGGGAUAACUUCAGGAAACUGGGGCUAAUACCGGAUAGGAGCUCCUGCUGCAUGGUGGGGGUUGGAAAGUUUCGGCGGUUGGGGAUGGACUCGCGGCUUAUCAGCUUGUUGGUGGGGUAGUGGCUUACCAAGGCUUUGACGGGUAGCCGGCCUGAGAGGGUGACCGGCCACAUUGGGACUGAGAGACGGCCCAGACUCCUACGGGAGGCAGCAGUGGGGAAUAUUGCAAAAUGGGCGGAAGCCUGAUGCAGCAACGCCGCGUGCGGGAUGACGGCCUUCGGGUUGUAAACCGCUUUCGCCUGUGACGAAGCGUGAGUGACGGUAAUGGGUAAAGAAGCACCGGCUAACUACGUG
This 468-nucleotide ribosomal RNA is filed under the name uncultured bacterium. RNAcentral describes it as "partial 16S ribosomal RNA". It matches the Rfam family "Bacterial small subunit ribosomal RNA", at positions 28 to 507 of the family's 1533-position model. The record is from RNAcentral.